This 1695-nucleotide ribosomal RNA is filed under the name Olea europaea subsp. europaea. RNAcentral's name for it is "SSU_rRNA_eukarya". The stretch from base 783 to 1695 matches the Rfam family "Bacterial small subunit ribosomal RNA", at positions 1 to 1197 of the family's 1533-position model. The record is from RNAcentral. Lineage: Eukaryota; Viridiplantae; Streptophyta; Magnoliopsida; Lamiales; Oleaceae.
AAAAGAUUAAUAAAUAUGGCUUAAAUAAGUGCAUAAAUUAUACUCAUCACUGGGUUUUCGGUCAAUAUACCUAACAAUUAUCCUACUAGAAAAAGUAAGAAUAAGAUUCCUGACGGAGUAAUGCCGCGUGGAGGUAGAAGGGCCACGGGUCGUGAACUUCUUUUCCCGGAGAAGAAGCAAUGACGGUAUCUGGGGAAUAAGCAUCGGCUUCUUCUAUUUCUACAUCUAGAAUUCGACUUGUAUCAUGNCGGAUAACGCUUGCAUCUUCUGUCUUACCGCGGCUGCUGGCACAGAGUUAGCUGAUGCUUAUUCCCCAGAUACCGUCAUUGCUUUUUCUCCGGGAAAAGAAGUUCACGACCUGUAGGCCUUAUACCUUCACGCAGCAUUGCUCCGUCAGGCUUUCGCCCAUUGCAGAAAAUUCCCCACUGUUGCCUUCUGUAGGAGUCUGGCCGUGUCUCAGUCCCAGUGUGGCUGAUCAUCCUCUCGGACCAGUUACUAAUCAUUGCCUUGAUAAGCUAUUGCCUCACCAACUAGCUAAUCAGACGAAAGCCCCUCCUCGGGCGGAUUCCUCCUUUUGCUCCUCAGCCUACGGGGUAUUAGCAGCCGUUUCCAGCUGCUGUUCCCCUCUCAAGGGCAGGUUCUUACACGUUACUCACCCGUCCGUAUGGCUGACCGGCGAUUACUAGCGAUUCCGGCUUCAUGCAGGCGAGUUGCAGCCUGCAAUCCGAACUGAGGACGAGUUUUUGGGGUGAGCUCACCCAUCGCCUUUGUCCCGGCCAUUGUAGCACGUGUGUCGCCCAGGGCAUAAGGGGCAUGAUGACUUGACGUCAUCCUCACCUUCCUCUGGCUUAUCACCGGCAGUCUGUUCAGGGUUCCAAACUCAACGAUGGCAACUAAACGAAACUAACAAGCUGGAGUAUGGUAGGGGCAGAGGGAAUUUCCGGUGGAGUGGUGAAAUGCGUAGAGAUCGAAAAGAACACCAACGGCGAAAGCACUCUGCUGGGCCAACACUGACACUAAGAGACGAAAGCUAGGGGAGCGAAUGGAAUUAGAUACCCCAGUAGUCCUAGCCGUAAACGAUGGAUACUAGGCGCCGUGCGUAUCGACCCGUGCAAUGUUGUAGCUAACGCGUUAAGUAUCCUGCCUGGGGAGUACGUUCGCAAGAAUGAAUCUCAAAGGAAUUGACGGGAGCCCACACAAGCAGUGGAGCGUGUGGUUUAAUUCGAUGCAAAGCGAAAAACCUUACCAGGGCUUGACUUGCCGCGAAUCCUCUUGAAAGAGAGGGGUGGCAGCCCAUCGCUCUUGUUCUCCAACUCGCAAUUCCAUAGGAAUUGAGUAAGGGUCGUACCGCUCCUUGUCCUAGCGCUCUCCAGCCCGCAUUCCUUCCUAAGGAAUGGAGUCCGGGCUUACAUUGUCAUUUGGAAGCUUUUUUAUUGCAGUUAAAUGAGAUAAAUGGACAAAUCUUUGACUAUAAAAGCAAACAGUUGCGGAUAACAUUGCUGGUUCCUAUUUAUAGAGCAGCUGGCAUACUGGUGCAGGUGACUGAUUGUUUCAUGAGAAAUUGCUAUUGUCAGUUUAUAGGUUGGGUUUGCUUCUCAUGGCCCCAAAAAAUCAUCCUUGAAAGAAGCAUGCCACAUUCAUUUUGAUAUAUUUCUUUUUCCACGAGAAUACGUCACUGUUACAAUAGGAAUAAUA